This 253-nucleotide ribosomal RNA is filed under the name uncultured bacterium. Its description in RNAcentral is "partial 16S ribosomal RNA". It matches the Rfam family "Bacterial small subunit ribosomal RNA", at positions 524 to 776 of the family's 1533-position model. The record is from RNAcentral.
UACAGAGGGUGCGAGCGUUAUUCGGAAUUACUGGGCGUAAAGCGCGCGUAGGCGGCUUUGCAAGCCGGAUGUGAAAUCCCCGGGCUUAACCUGGGAACUGCAUUCGGGACUGCAUUGCUAGAGUAUGGGAGAGGGAAGUGGAAUUUCAGGUGUAGCGGUGAAAUGCGUAGAUAUCGGGAGGAACAUCAGUGGCGAAAGCGGCUUCCUGGACCAGUACCGACGUUCAGGCACGAAAGCGUGGGGAGCGAACAGG